This 243-nucleotide ribosomal RNA is filed under the name uncultured bacterium. Its description in RNAcentral is "partial 16S ribosomal RNA". It matches the Rfam family "Bacterial small subunit ribosomal RNA", at positions 118 to 352 of the family's 1533-position model. The record is from RNAcentral.
UGAGGAACAUGACCUUCGGCGGGGGAUAGCCGGCCCAACGGCCGGGUAAUACCGCGUACGACCUUUUGGGGACAUCCCUGAUUGGUGAAAGCAGCAAUGCGCCGAAAGAGUGCCUCGCGGCCUAUCAGCUAGUUGGUGGGGUAAUGGCUCACCAAGGCGACGACGGGUAGCUGGUCUGAGAGGAUGGCCAGCCACAGUUGGGACUGGAGGCACCGGCCCAGACCUCCGUACGGGGAGGNAGCG